AGUUCAUAAGUGGGUUGGUCGCGCCCACUAACUCCGGCUCCAUGGGAACCGGGACUUUUGGACGAAGAACUCGGUUGAACCGCGAGGAGGAGGAAGAUUUGUGACAGCGCACAAGGAAGGACACGCCUGCUCGUUACAUCGACAGUUUGUGUGGGUAGACCGUGCGUGUUGUUCUGACGGAGAAUUUAUAAUACUCACCUCUACUCAAUGAACCUACCUUUCGCUUGUUAUUUUGUCCCCGACGGUUGUGGUUUUCUGCGUCAUAGCAACAGAGAUGUAAAUCAAGUUAGCCUCCACCUCUUCAUUUGAUAUGCAGCUACUGACAUAACCAGGAGCGCUGAAGUGACAGAGUGCAGCGGAAGAUGGACAUCCGGAGUGGCAUACAAAAGGCAGUGGAGCCCCUCCCUGCCUCUCUCCCCUCUUCCCCUCAACAGUCGGGUGCCCAUCAGCAGAGCGAGCCGGAGGACAGCCAGGCAGAACGGAGUGCCAGGCCCACCGCUGACAACCACAGCAACGACACCCAGCCAGCCGCCGGCCACCGAGACGACAAAAAAUAUUUCAGUGUGGAGUCCAUUGAUGGAGUCCAUAUGUUUCAUGAAGCCAUUAGAAGACUGUUGCUGACUGAGAUGAGGUGCUGUCAGGAGAAACACUUUCACAUCCAAGGCUACAGAUGGAGAGACGGAGAAAUUCGUCAUAAGGUGGCUGCAGUUUGCAUCAGACAGAGACGGACGCAGGAAGGAGGGGACCGAACACAGCAAGGAAAGGGCAGAUAGACCCAGAGAGAAAUAGAUACAUUGACAUACACGCAUACAUACA
RNAcentral lists this long non-coding RNA (816 nucleotides) under Salmo salar (Atlantic salmon). Its description in RNAcentral is "lncRNA (ENSSSAG00000077840.2)". Lineage: Eukaryota; Metazoa; Chordata; Actinopteri; Salmoniformes; Salmonidae. The record is from RNAcentral.